Molecule: long non-coding RNA, 4017 nt
Organism: Oncorhynchus keta (chum salmon)
Lineage: Eukaryota; Metazoa; Chordata; Actinopteri; Salmoniformes; Salmonidae
Exons: 6
Source: RefSeq, a predicted model, not a curated record
GACCAGAGUCACUACAAGGCUUUAUUCCACAUAUAGUCCUCUACUUUAGACCAGAGUCACUACAAGGCUUUAUUCCACAUAUAGUCCUCUACUUUAGACCAGAGUCACUACAAGGCUUUAUUCCACAUAUGGUCCUCUACUUUAGACCAGAGUCACUACAAGGCUUUAUUCCACAUAUAGUCCUCUACUUUAGACCAGAGUCACUACAAGGCUUUAUUCCACAUAUAGUCCUCUACUUCAGACCAGAGCCACUACAAGGCUUUAUUCCACAUAUAGUCCUCUACUUUAGACCAGAGCCACCGCAACAUUUUAUCUCAGCCUCACAAUAAUAAUAAUAACAAUAAUAAUUUAUUCAGCUUCUAUAGUGUUUUUCAUUAUACAACAUUAUCUCAAAGUGCUUGAAAAGAAAACAACUAAUAUAUAGUCCUUAUAGUAGAUAACAGAGGGCUGGACUACCAAAACUAAUAUAUAGUCCUUAUAGUAGAUAACAGAGGGCUGGACUACCAUAACUAAUAUAUAGCCCUUAUAGCAGAUAACAGAGGGCUGGACUACCACAACUAAUAUAUAGUCCUUAUAGUAGAUAACAGAGGGCUGGACUACCACAACUAAUAUAUAGUCCUUAUAGUAGAUAACAGAGGGCUGGACUACCACAACUAAUAUAUAGUCCUUAUAGUAGAUAACAGAGGGCUGGACUACCACAACUAAUAUAUAGUCCUUAUAGUAGAUAACAGAGGGCUGGACUACCACAACUAAUAUAUAGUCCUUAUAGUAGAUAACAGAGGGCUGGACUACCACAACUAAUAUAUAGUCCUUAUAGUAGAUAACAGAGGGCUGGACUACCAUAACUAAUAUAUAGUCCUUAUAGUAGAUAACAGAGGGCUGGACUACCACAACUGUCAGCUAGAGUUGUACGUUUUGGGUGUUUCAAGCCUACAACAUAUGGAACGACAGUCGAGUGGGAUCCAUAUAGCUGGAGCAGAGGGAGGGUUUUGUCUACAGGGGGUAGAUGAGUAGGUCCUCCUCAUAGCUGGAGCAGAGGGAGGGUUUUGUCUACAGGGGGUAGAUGAUCAGGUCCUCCUCAUAGCUGGAGCAGAGGGAGGGUUUUGUCUACAGGGGGUAGAUGAGUAGGUCCUCCUCAUAGCUGGAGCAGAGGGAGGGUUUUGUCUACAGGGGGUAGAUGAGUAGGUCCUCCUCAUAGCUAGAGCAGAGGGAGGGUUUUGUCUACAGGGGGUAGAUGAGUAGGUCCUCCUCAUAGCUGGAGCAGAGGGAGGGUUUUGUCUACAGGGGGUAGAUGAGUAGGUCCUCCUCAUAGCUGGAGCAGAGGGAGGGUUUUGUCUACAGGGGGUAGAUGAGUAGGUUCUCCUCAUAGCUGGAGCAGAGGGAGGGUUUUGUCUACAGGGGGUAGAUGAGUAGGUUCUCCUCAUAGCUGGAGCAGAGGGAGGGUUUUGUCUACAGGGGGUAGAUGAGUAGGUUCUCCUCAUAGCUGGAGCAGAGGGAGGGUUUUGUCUACAGGGGGUAGAUGAUCAGGUCCUCCUCAUAGCUAGAGCAGAGGGAGGGUUUUGUCUACAGGGGGUAGAUGAGUAGGUUCUCCUCAUAGCUGGAGCAGAGGGAGGGUUUUGUCUACAGGGGGUAGAUGAUCAGGUCCUCCUCAUAGCUGGAGCAGAGGGAGGGUUUUUGUCAACAGGGGGUAGAUGAGUAGGUUCUCCUCAUAGCUAGAGCAGAGGGAGGGUUUUGUCUACAGGGGGUAGAUGAGUAGGUUCUCCUCAUAGCUGGAGCAGAGGGAGGGUUUUGUCUACAGGGGGUAGAUGAUCAGGUUCUCCUCAUAGCUGGAGCAGAGGGAGGGUUUUGUCUACAGGGGGUAGAUGAUCAGGUCCUCCUCAUAGCUGGAGCAGAGGGAGGGUUUUGUCAACAGGGGGUAGAUGAGUAGGUCCUCCAGUGGCAGGCAGGUAGCACUGUUCACUCGCCUCGCAGUCCCAGCUGUCUGACUGCCUUGUACAAGAUGAAGUUCAUUACUACGUUCCCACUAACUCAAUGAUGUCAGCCAGCACAAAUCUUCAGAGGAAUCGUCAGACUGAGCAUUGAAUUCAUCCCUGCCAGCUCCCUGCCAGCUUGCAGUCCUCCUCAGGGGUCAGGAGACCAUAAAAACAAGCAAAAAAUAUGGUGGGGCGGCAGCGUAGCCUAGUAACCAGAAGGUUGCAAGUUCAAACCCCCGAGCUGACAAGGUACAAAUCUGUCGUUCUGCCCCUGAACAGGCAGUUAACCCACUGUGCCCAGGCCGUCAUUGAAAAUAAGAAUAUGUUCUUAACUGACUUGCCUGGUUAAAUAAAGGUAAAAUUAAAAACCAAAACACACUAGCUAAUUAGCUUGCUAGCAUUGUUAACUAGCUAUUUUGAAAGAACUGAUUUUCCAUCAUAUUCACAGGUAGGAAACACAUUGAUUUUACCCAGACUUAGUCUAUACCCAUUGAGCUAUUCAAAACCAAAAAAUCAAAUUAAAAUAUUCAAACUAAAAAAUAAAAAAUAAAAAAUGAUUAAAUAUUAACUAAAUGUACCGGAGCUCUCUGCCUAGGCGACCUCACAGCGCCAUGGCAACAUGUGUAGAAUAGCAGGGAAUUUGCUCUCUGCCUCAUGGCAACAAAAAUACAUCCUCUAAAGUAGUGCACUAUAUAGGGAAUAGGGUUCCAUAUGGCUCUGGUCUAAAGUAGUGCACUAUAUAGGGAAUAGGGCUCUGGUCUAAAGUAGUGCACUAUAUAGGGAAUAGGGCUCUGGUCUAAAGUAGUGCACUAUAUAGGGAAUAGGACUCUGGUCUAAAGUAGUGCACUAUAUAGGGAAUAGGGCUCUGGUCUAAAGUAGUGCACUAUAUAGGGAAUAGGGCUCUGGUCUAAAGUAGUGCACUAUAUAGGGAAUAUGGCUCUGGUCUAAAGUAGUGCACUAUAUAGGGAAUAGGACUCUGGUCUAAAGUAGUGCACUAUAUAGGGAAUAGGGCUCUGGUCUAAAGUAGUUUACUAUAUAGGGAAUAGGGCUCUGGUCUAAAGUAGUUUACUAUAUAGGGAAUAGGGCUCUGGUCUAAAGUAGUUUACUAUAUAGGGAAUAGGGCUCUGGUCUAAAGUAGUUUACUAUAUAGGGAAUAGGGCUCUGGUCUAAAGUAGUACCACUAUAUAGGGAAUAGGGUUCCAUAUGGCUCUGGUCUAAAGUAGUGCACUAUAUAUGGGGCUCUGGUCUAAAGUAGUGCACUAUAUAUGGGGCUCUGGUCUAAAGUAGUGCACUAUAUAGGGAAUAGGGUGCCAUUUGGGAUGCACCCCUAUGGGACACAUCCAUGUAAGGAGUUACUCGGCCUCGUAGAGCCUUUCUGAAUGUAUUCAGCAUCUUUAUGAGAAAUUGCACUAGAUAUAUUUUUAGAAGUACAAGAUGUUAGGUCUAGAAAGGGAGGCAGAGCGUGUUGGGCUCCACACGAUCACACAGGCAGGUCUAAGUAUUAUCCUACACAGAGAAUGUCCAUUAGUAGGGUCUAGGCUCGGGAGAGGAAAUGUGUGUCCACGAUGUGAAUGAGAACACAUCUACUGGUUAAACACGGUUGCUAUUGGAAUUUCACAUGUAUAUUUUCAACGUCAGUUUCAUGUUCGUUUAUAUCCAUCAUCCCUCCCUCCAUCAUCCAUCCCUCCAUCCAUCAUCCCUCCAUCCAUCAUCCCUCCCUCCAUCCAUCAUCCCUCCCUCCAUCCAUCAUCCCUCCCUCCAUCCAUCAUCCCUCCAUCCAUCCAUCAUCCCCCUCCAUCCAUCAUCCCUCCAUCCAUCAUCCCUCCCUCCAUCCAUCAUCCCUCCCUCCAUCCAUCAUCCCUCCCUCCAUAAUAUACCAAAUGCCUGUUCCGUUUCCAUUACCAAGGCCCAGAGCAGUGUUUGUUUUAAUACCAUUGCAGGAGUUUGCAUACUGGAUUGGUUUGUAAAUAUUGUGCUCCUGUUUCAAAUAGAGUACAUUCUAUGAAGUCUUGUUUAUUAUAAUAAACAUGUCAAAGACAUUGUC